This 45-nucleotide non-coding RNA is filed under the name Schistosoma curassoni. The record is from RNAcentral. Lineage: Eukaryota; Metazoa; Platyhelminthes; Trematoda; Strigeidida; Schistosomatidae.
AUCCAUUUGACGAGUCCCAAAUAGAACGAAACACACGCCCUGGAU